CUUCCAUAUGCCCUUUAAGCUUCUUGGCUGUUCCCUUGAUGAUAGCCUCGUGCGUGAUUGUGUCUUCCUUCCUUUCUAGGUCUCUGAUUGUGUCUUCCUUCCUUUCUAGGUCUUGUUUGGUAGCAGGCGCACCUUCAGCUGGCUUGUGCUUGAGCUGCCACAGCGCUUGGAGGAGUACGCCUAAGGGUUUAUCUUUAACGGAUUCUGGCAGACCCAGCGGGUCUUCAUCCAUUUGUUUCAGUCUCGUCUUUGCUGACAUGACCUUGCUGUUGCUGGGGCUGUGGUUCGGCAGAUUGAAGCUUCCGCAGGAUGUAAUACAGAAUGUCCCGAGUUCGAAGGGCUCGAGCAAACAAGUGCACUGCUGGGAUGUCGACCAUGACACUGCGCCUGCUGGGACAAUGUUUUUUCCACAUUGAGGAAGCUUCCUUCGCAAUAGCCAGGGUUUCCUCCUUAUCCAGUGCCACAAUGGCGACCGAUGGUAUGGGCUCCCCCUCAGCAGUGUGGCGUUGUGCGACAUCGUCUAUCCAUUCGGCUAGCUUCACCCUAGUGUUCUCCUCCGGCGUACGAGGCUGGUAAAAUGUCCCUCUUACACCAGAAUAGUUAGUUGUUGCCAUUGCUAGCAUGAGUUCAUCGUUGCUCUUUUCCUUUUCAUCUCCGGAACUAGUAGAUGAUGUAGACGCUUGCUCCUCUGCUGUAGGCGACAGUGCCGCUGCCGCCUCCUUAGCCGGGACCUCAACGCCGUACCUGUAACAUGCCAGAAAUAAUUAAUUAGAAUGAAAAGUUCAACCAUGUAGCCACAACAACAGAUGAAGAAAAAUAACUUCUGCAAGUGCAAUAUAUAUAGGCCAGGUGGAAAUUCCGAGACCUUUGAUAGGUUUAUCUCAUCAAAACAGUCAAAAUGGUGUGGUGGUUUAUCUUUCUAUUUUAUUUUUUUGAGGGCGGUGUGGUGGUUUAUUUAGGUAAGACUCUGUACCAGGGGGGAUGGGCUUGAUGUUUUGACAAUGUUUUAGCAAUGUUCACAUAUAUACAACUUAAAGCGAAUUAUAUUAGGUGGCAAAAUAGUCGCUCGGUAGCUAACUAGCUAUAAUACUUCUAGUAAGUUUCAGCCGAGAGUUUGUCAUUUCAUUUAUCAGUAGGUAUUCAUUUCAGUGCUGCCAGUUGCACAGCCAUAUACACUACUAACUGUAACUGUAAACUCAGUAGUAAUUGUUCAUUAUAUUAUCAGAGGCUGGCAUUUAAUUAGUAGCAUAUGAUUCCUUCCCUCAUUUAUUAGUUUUUACUAGUAACUGUAAACUCAGUAGUAAUUGUUCAUUAUAUUAUCAGAGGCUGGCAUUUAAUUGUAGCAUGACUGAACUGUCAGCCUCAUUUAUUAGUUCCUACUAGUUAAUUACUAUGUUUAUAAGCCAAAAACUAAAAGGCCAAAAAUUAAGCCUAAGAAAGCACAACUAAUCUUGUAUACCAGCGAUGUCAAGUGAGCAAGGCCAAAGACAGAUGGGCGUUGAUGGGCUGACUAGGCCUAGAUACUUUUUUAUUCCAUGUUGCGUGUAUCUAAAAUACUUUUCUCUUUUAUUCUCUCUAGCAUAGUGAUACAUGGGUUUGUAUGUGUGCACGUUUUUUCUAGAUGUAUAAUUAAUUGUUCAUAAUUAAUUUUUUGUGAGGAAAAUUCUUCAUUAUCCCCUCCGUUCCAUAUUAAGUGUCGUUGAUUUAUUAUAACUUUGUACUUACAUUCUUUUAAUUUCUUGAUUUCACAAUAGGUAUUAUAUCCAUUUUAUUUUCUGAUAUGUACUACUUUAUGUUUCAUGCAUUUUCUGUAUUUAAUGGUUUUUGUUCUACUUAUUUUUAAUCUAUUUCGCACCACUUAAUCCUGAAUAUUCACGACGACUUCCUUUUCAGAAGAUUUUUCCCACCGGUAAUCGUGGAUUGCUUUACAACAACUUUCAAUUUCUUCCAAUUUGUUUUUUCUUUUUCACUAGUAAUUAUGAGUUUUUUCCUUCGAUGAUUUUAUUUUGUUCCACUUUUUAUAUUCUUACAAUAGUUAUGUUCCGUGAUGAAUUUUAGUAAUCUUGAGUCACUUCAUCAUGAGUAAUUUGAUCCAGUAAUAUUAAUUUCUCUGUUCCAGUACUAAUCUUGAAUUAUUACACUGUGACAUUAUUUUUGUUCCACUUUUCUUGUCCGAAUAUAAAUCCUAAAUUAUUGUGAAGAUGAUUUUCCCACUUUUUUGGUCAAUAAGUUGUAUUGAAUUGUUGCGUGGUGAUAAUUUUUGUUCCACCACUUACUAUGGAUUGUUCCAUGUUGGCUUCGUUUUUGUUCUGUUGUUAAUUAUAAAUUGUUUUAUUUUGGUCUU
Long non-coding RNA from Triticum aestivum (bread wheat), 2344 nucleotides. RefSeq lists it as uncharacterized. NCBI's taxonomy places the organism in Eukaryota, Viridiplantae, Streptophyta, Magnoliopsida, Poales, Poaceae. The transcript is spliced from 2 exons. The record is from RefSeq and is a predicted model, not a curated record.